UUCUUCCAUUACCAGUAGACCAUUUUAGUUGAAUCCAUGCUUCUUCAAUCCAAUCUUUUAGGCCAAAAUCAAAUGCAUAAAGGGCCUAUUGACCUAUUAAAAUAUCAUAGUUAGUGGCAUUAGUCAUUGCACACUUUAAAAAUAAGUAUGAAUAAAAUGGAACAGAUGCACUACAAAAUAUUAAUUACAAAGAUUUCUUAGUGUAACUAGUAGCUUGCUCCGUACCUCCUUCUAGAAUAAAAAUGGUAAAUAAAUAAGGUUUUAGAUCUGUAGAAGUGAGACCUAAUUCUUGAGCAACUUACUUAUCAAUUAUAACUGGAUGAACUCUAAAAUCUAGCAUAACAUGCAAAGAUGUAAUAUAAGUAGUAUUGCUAUUAGUAUGGCUAACAGUUAUCU
This 396-nucleotide long non-coding RNA is filed under the name Physcomitrium patens. RNAcentral's name for it is "long non-coding RNA (PPAT_LNC002978)". The record is from RNAcentral. Lineage: Eukaryota; Viridiplantae; Streptophyta; Bryopsida; Funariales; Funariaceae.